Molecule: transfer RNA, 78 nt
Filed under: Palaeococcus helgesonii
Lineage: Archaea; Methanobacteriati; Methanobacteriota; Thermococci; Thermococcales; Thermococcaceae
Also listed under: 3 other names
Description: tRNA-Ala
Rfam family: tRNA
About the family: Transfer RNA (tRNA) molecules are approximately 80 nucleotides in length. Their secondary structure includes four short double-helical elements and three loops (D, anti-codon, and T loops).
Source: RNAcentral
GGGCCGGUAGCUCAGCCUGGGAUGAGCGCUGCCUUGGCAAGGCAGAGGCCCCGGGUUCAAAUCCCGGCCGGUCCACCA